RNAcentral lists this ribosomal RNA (253 nucleotides) under uncultured bacterium. RNAcentral describes it as "partial 16S ribosomal RNA". It matches the Rfam family "Bacterial small subunit ribosomal RNA", at positions 524 to 776 of the family's 1533-position model. The record is from RNAcentral.
UACGUAGGGUGCGAGCGUUGUCCGGAAUCACUGGGCGUAAAGGGCGCGUAGGCGGCGCGGGGAGUCAACGGUGAAAGCUCGGCGCUCAACGCCGAGUCGGCCGUCGAUACUCCCGUGCUUGAGCACUGUAGAGGCAGGUGGAAUUCCGGGUGUAGCGGUGGAAUGCGUAGAGAUCGGAAAGAACACCAACGGCGAAAGCACUCUGCUGGGCCGACACUGACACUGAGAGACGAAAGCUAGGGGAGCGAAUGGG